ACAAUGCAAGUCGAACGAUAACGGAUUUUAGUUUACUAAAAUUAAGUCAGCUAAGUGGCGCACGGGUGAGUAAUAUAUAGUUAACCUGCCCCAAAGAAGAGAAUAAUUGAUGGAAACGUCUUGUAACUCUCUAUAUGCCUUUAUCACAUAAGUGAGCAAGGGAAACAUUUAUGGCUUUGGGAUGGGACUGUACGGUAUCAAGAUAGUUGGUGAGGUAAUGGCUCACCAAGUCAAUGACGCCUAACUGGUUUGAGAAGAUGAUCAGUCACACUGGAACUGAGACACGGUCCAGACUCCUACGGGAGGCAGCAGUGGGGAAUAUUGCACAAUGGGAAGAAACUCUGAUGCAGCAACGCCGCGUGGAGGAUGACACAUUUCGGUGCGUAAACUCCUUUUAUAUGAGAAGGAUAAUGACAGUAUCAUAUGAAUAAGCACCGGCUAACUCCGUGCCAGCAGCCGCGGUAAUACGGGGGGUGCAAGCGUUACUCGGAAUCACUGGGGCGUAAAGAGCAUGUAG
RNAcentral lists this ribosomal RNA (517 nucleotides) under uncultured bacterium. RNAcentral's name for it is "bacterial SSU rRNA". It matches the Rfam family "Bacterial small subunit ribosomal RNA", at positions 53 to 574 of the family's 1533-position model. The record is from RNAcentral.